GCAACUGUUGAAAUACUGUAGCUCUUAACAUAUCUGACUUUUUGCUUCUGCUCUAUGAUGAGGUGAUAGACACUGCAAAGUUCUUAAUUAUUGUUUUGUGCCAGGACUUACUUUGUACAAAGUAAUUGAAUGAUGACAUAAACCAGUGCACCUAAAGUUUUAAGAAAUUUAUUGAUGCUCACAGUUCCUCUUGAAGCAAGAGAACAGCAUGCUACAUAGGGAUAUGCAAGGAAACCAUGAAGCUGAUCAGGAGAAAGCAGCAAAGGUGUCUAGGAUACCUCUGAAUAACAACUUGAGAGGAGGUAUCUCUUACCAGAAACUGGGCUUUUUAUUUGGCAACUUCUGACUUCUGAGGUUGACAACAAUUUUCAAGACACCAGCAAAUGCGCAUUCAGUAAGUACUGAGACACUUGCCCACAGGGAGUGGGUGCCUUUAGGCAAUUAGCUGUGACUCACUUCCAAACCAGGUUAGAAACAUCAAAGGACUGUUCCACUCUGUCCAGGAAAUGCAGAGAGAAAAGCCCAGGGUAACAUCACACUAAAGCAGUUAAAUUAGACCUCAAGGUUAAGAGACUGAUGAGUGACUACAAUGAGAGCUCUGUGAUACACAGAGGUCAUUCUUAAUUGGGGUCUGUGA
This is a long non-coding RNA of Peromyscus leucopus (white-footed mouse), 637 nucleotides long. RefSeq lists it as uncharacterized. The transcript is spliced from 3 exons. NCBI's taxonomy places the organism in Eukaryota, Metazoa, Chordata, Mammalia, Rodentia, Cricetidae. The record is from RefSeq and is a predicted model, not a curated record.